CCGGAACAGGGAGCAGAAGAAGAUCUGAUCUUACUUUCCACUGGUCAAAGGUCCUUUAAAUAAACCAUAAUCUACUGGUUAUUAUCACAUUACCUUGGGAAACCUGUUGGAGUGCAGUUUGAUUAGAAAAGGGCUGCUCUGCUCCUCCACUGCCUCCAUGGCACACUGCAGAGACAUCUGAAGAGAGAGCAGCUGACUAGACGUCUCCCUCAACAUAAAGCGUGUCACAAACUGCCCCAACACGGACGAGCCCUGAUACUCCUGCACAGACAGAAGGAGUCAGGAAGGCUGAACAAAGUGGACCUGCAAUCCGGAUGAAAAUAACAGCGUUUCGUCGGCAUCGUGGCAACGACACUCCAGCCUACUAACUAUACCACAACAACUCUUCUCCACAGCAAUAUAAAAUGCCCCCCCCCCCCUUAUUUAAUAUUCACGGGGGAGGGGUUUACUGUAUGUAAAUAUGGGGUUAGUGACGUCAGCAACCCUGGAGGAAUGUCGUGUAGUCCUUACCGGCCGUUUGCUGUAGUCCUUAGAAAUGGAUUUCUUUAAAAGCAAAUAUCUCCCUUUGCUUAAAACUUUGAGCGUUGUAACUUUGCAGAUGUUGUUUAUGGUCAAACAGGAACAUUACACACUAGCUAAAGUUAGAAAAGUGAAAUCGUGUUUUACCACCCCUUUAAAAAAAAGAAAAAACCAGCCAACAAAGAAACAGGCCAUAACUGGCCAUGAAGCUGCUCAUCAGUCAACGUUUCAGCAUGUGAAAAUAGAAAGACUAUAAAAAUGGCUGUAAUUCAUUAAAGCAAUGGUUUUUGUUAAUGCCCUUGAAUUAAAGCUAAUUUUUGCUUAAUUUGAAAUCCAUUAUGGUGGUGUACAGAGGCAAAAUACAUACUGUAUGGACAAGACUGUA
Molecule: long non-coding RNA, 904 nt
Organism: Tachysurus vachellii
Lineage: Eukaryota; Metazoa; Chordata; Actinopteri; Siluriformes; Bagridae
Exons: 3
Source: RefSeq, a predicted model, not a curated record